AGAGUUUGAUCCUGGCUCAGAACGAACGCUGGCGGCACGCUUAAUACAUGCAAGUCGAACGAGAAAGUCUCCUUCGGGAGGCGAUUAAAGUGGCGCACGGGUGAGUAAUACGUGGGUGACCUGUCCUGUAAUGGGGGAUAACAGAGAGAAGUCUCUGCUAAUACCGCAUGAGCUGAACGACUUUGGAAGGAGUUCAAGAAAGAUGGCCUCUACUUGUAAGCUAUCGUUAUGGGAAGGGCCUGCGGACCAUUAGUUUGUUGGUAAGGUAAUGGCUUACCAAGACUGCGAUGGUUAGCCGGUCUGAGAGGAUGAUCGGCCACACUGGAACUGAGACACGGUCCAGACUCCUACGGGAGGCAGCAGUAGGGAAUAUUGCGCAAUGGGCGAAAGCCUGACGCAGCGACGCCGCGUGAGUGAGGAAGGCCCUCGGGUUGUAAAGCUCUGUCCUAGGGGAAAAACGAUAUAUAAAUUAAUACCUUAUAUAAGUGAUGGUACCUUAGAAGAAAGCACCGGCUAACUUCGUGCCAGCAGCCGCGGUAAUACGAAGGGUGCAAGCGUUGUUCGGAUUUAUUGGGCGUAAAGGGUGAGUAGGCGGAUAGAUAAGUCAAGUGUGAAAUCUCGGGGCUUAACCCCGAAACUGCGCGUGAAACUGUUUAUCUAGAAUCUCGGAGAGGGAAGGGGAAUUUCGCAUGUAGGAGUAAAAUCCGUAGAGAUGCGAAGGAACACCAGAGGCGAAGGCGCCUUCCUGGACGAGUAUUGACGCUGAUGCACGAAAGCGUGGGGAGCAAACAGGAUUAGAUACCCUGGUAGUCCACGCCGUAAACGAUGAGCACUAGUUGUAGGGCAGGUUACUGCUCUGCGACGCAGCUAACGCAUUAAGUGCUCCGCCUGGGGAGUACGGCCGCAAGGCUAAAACUCAAAGGAAUUGACGGGGGCCCGCACAAGCGGUGGAUCAUGUGGUUUAAUUCGAAGCAGCGCGAAGAACCUUACCUAGGUUUGAAAUCCCACGAAUCCCUUCGAAAAGAGGGAGUGCCCUUCGGGGAAUGUGGAGACAGGCGCUGCAUGGCUGUCGUCAGCUCGUGUUGUGAAAUGUUGGGUUAAGUCUCGCAACGAGCGGAACCCCUAUUUUUAGUUGCCAGCAUUAAGUUGGGCACUCUAGAGAGACCGCCGGGGUUAACCCGGAGGAAGGUGGGGAUGACGUCAAGUCCUCAUGGCCCUUAUACCUAGGGCUACACACGUGAUACAAUGGAUGGUACAAAGGGAAGCAGUCCUGCGAAGGUGAGCUAAUCUCAAAAAACCAUUCUCAGUCCGGAUUGGAGUCUGCAACUCGACUCCAUGAAGUUGGAAUCGCUAGUAAUCGCAAAUCAGCAUGCUGCGGUGAAUACGUUCCCGGGCCUUGUACACACCGCCCGUCACACCAUGGGAGUUGACCCAACCUGAAGUCGUGGCCUUAACCUUUUCGGAGGAAGGGAGCGCCCACGGUGGGGUUGAUGACUGGGGUGAAGUCGUAACAAGGUA
This 1518-nucleotide ribosomal RNA is filed under the name metagenome. RNAcentral's name for it is "bacterial SSU rRNA". It matches the Rfam family "Bacterial small subunit ribosomal RNA". The record is from RNAcentral.